RNAcentral lists this ribosomal RNA (44 nucleotides) under Oryza sativa (Asian cultivated rice). Its description in RNAcentral is "partial 25S ribosomal RNA". The record is from RNAcentral. Lineage: Eukaryota; Viridiplantae; Streptophyta; Magnoliopsida; Poales; Poaceae.
UCGGACCGCGACCCCAGGUCAGGCGGGACUACCCGCUGAGUUUA